RNAcentral lists this ribosomal RNA (310 nucleotides) under uncultured eukaryote. Its description in RNAcentral is "partial 18S ribosomal RNA". It matches the Rfam family "Eukaryotic small subunit ribosomal RNA", at positions 1470 to 1796 of the family's 1831-position model. The record is from RNAcentral.
CCCUUAGAUGUUCUGGGCUGCACGCGUGCUACACUGAUUAUUUCAACAAGUGUUUUAACUGGAGAGUUCGCGUAAUCCUGAAAUGUUAUCGUGAUGGGAGUAGAGUAUUGUAUUUGUUAAUCUUUAACGAGGAAUUCCUAGCAAGUGUAGGUUUAUAAGUUGUUCUGAUUACGUCCCUGCCCUUUGUACACACCGCCCGUCGCUCCUACCGAUUGAUUGAUCCGGUGAAUUACAUAGAAUUUUGCGUUUUACAUGACGGAAGACGAAGUGUUUUAAACCUGAUCAUUUAGAGGAAGGAGAAGUCGUAACA